AGCUCCAAUAGCGUAUAUUAAAGUUGUUGCAGUUAAAAAGCUCGUAGUCGGAUUUCUUGGUUGUAUUGGAGCACGCGCUUCGAACGAAGCGUUCGUUGCAACAAUCCACCAUUUCGUCCCUUGCUCGCAGCUGGUCUUUGUUGACUCGGUUGUUGUGCUGGGACCUUUUACUGUGAGAAAAUUAGAGUGUUCAAGGCAAGCGUUUUUGCAAUUGAAUAUUCCAGCAUGGAAUAACAAGAUACGACUUUCGAGCUAUUUUGUUGGUUUCUAUUUCGGAAGUAAUGAUUGAUAGGGAUAGUUGGGGGUGCUAGUAUUGGAUGGCCAGAGGUGAAAUUCAUGGAUUCAUUCAAGACUAACUUAUGCGAAAGCAUUCACCAAGGAUGUCCUCUUUG
Molecule: ribosomal RNA, 392 nt
Filed under: Plasmodiophora sp.
Lineage: Eukaryota; Endomyxa; Phytomyxea; Plasmodiophorida; Plasmodiophoridae
Also listed under: 1 other name
Description: SSU rRNA
Rfam family: Eukaryotic small subunit ribosomal RNA
Source: RNAcentral